AUGGCUCUUUCAUGAUUAUAUGAUAGGUGGUGCAUGGCCGUUCUUAGUUCGUGGAGUGAUCUGUCUGCUUAAUUGCGUUUCAAAAUUUAACUUGAGGACCGGGUUUUGGUUUGGCUAGUGGUUCUACGAUGACUGUGAACUGUCAUGUCUUCGGAUGUGCGACUAUUGGUCUAGGAUCACAUGACUUGCCCCUGGGACUCUUUUGAACGCAACGGACGUGAUUGCAACCCCUUGUUGAGAUUAGAGAUAGUCUCGAUAUUCACUGGACAAACUGGCUGCUUUAUGCAGUCUUGUUGAAUGG
This 301-nucleotide ribosomal RNA is filed under the name Globigerinoides ruber albus. Its description in RNAcentral is "SSU rRNA". Lineage: Eukaryota; Foraminifera; Rotaliida; Globigerinidae. The record is from RNAcentral.